RNAcentral lists this transfer RNA (63 nucleotides) under Tetramorium tsushimae. RNAcentral describes it as "tRNA-Glu". The record is from RNAcentral. Lineage: Eukaryota; Metazoa; Arthropoda; Insecta; Hymenoptera; Formicidae.
AUAAAUAUAGUUUAAAAAAACAUUAUAUUUUCAAUAUAAAAAUAUAUGUUAUAUUUAUUUAUC